This 85-nucleotide transfer RNA is filed under the name Proteus vulgaris. Its description in RNAcentral is "tRNA-Leu". It matches the Rfam family "tRNA". Rfam says of the family: Transfer RNA (tRNA) molecules are approximately 80 nucleotides in length. Their secondary structure includes four short double-helical elements and three loops (D, anti-codon, and T loops). Lineage: Bacteria; Pseudomonadati; Pseudomonadota; Gammaproteobacteria; Enterobacterales; Morganellaceae. The record is from RNAcentral.
GCCGGAGUGGCGAAAUUGGUAGACGCAGUUGAUUCAAAAUCAACCGCCCUCGGGUGUGCCGGUUCGAGUCCGGCCUUCGGCACCA